This 8086-nucleotide long non-coding RNA is filed under the name Manihot esculenta (cassava). Its description in RNAcentral is "long non-coding RNA (MESC_LNC009993)". Lineage: Eukaryota; Viridiplantae; Streptophyta; Magnoliopsida; Malpighiales; Euphorbiaceae. The record is from RNAcentral.
UGGAAAUUCAAUAUUCAUGCAAUUUCAUAUUUAAUUUUCAUAUUAUUUUGUUAUUGAGAUCUACGUUGAUUUUUUAUUGCAAAAUAAUUAUUUGUUAGUUUGAAUAAUUUAAGUCUGUAAUUGCUUGGGUUAUUCUUACAUGAGAACACUUGGGAUAAAACCCAAGGAAAUUGCAUGAUCUAGCGUUAUCUCCAUACGUUUGGGUAGUUAGGAUUGGAUCUCUCUAUUUCUUAAUGCAAUUGGCAAUUGUUUUGAUGCCUAAGGCCCAAGGACGUUCCUUGGCAAUUUGUUAAUUAGUAAUUAAUCAGAGGACGUUCCCUAAUUAAUUUAAUCAUAAGGAGAGAUAAUGGUGGUGAGAAGCGUCUUCCAUCUCCAUAAACUAAUCUAUUGAAUCAACCCAAAAGAACAAAGUGUCUGUGAUCAAUCCCAACAACUAAAGUGGAUCCAAUACUUCAACUAGAACUUUCUCAUUAUUGAUUGCUCUUUAUUUUAUUACUUGCUUUCCUUUAUUAUUCUCAAUUUUAGUUUACUACAAUCAAUCUCAAACCCCCCUAUUAUUUUGUUGACAGUUUUUUAUCCCAAUUUUCAGUUUAUCUCAUUUGAUCCCACUUUCAGUUUUUAUCUCAUUUUUUGUUUAUUGUUAUUUCAGUUAAUUCUCUUGGUCUUGUUGAGAAAAAUAAAUAAGUUUUCAAUUCUCUGUGGAUUCGAUCCUUUCACCACUAUUUGCAGUUGUAAAUUGUUGAUAACCAGAAAGGUUAUUUUUGACCAGCUUCGACAACCGCGAGUCAAAAAUUGGCGCCGUUGCCCGGGAAUUGAUUUUACUUGUUUAAUUUUCUUUUCAUGACCAGAUCUGAACGCAGGGGCACACUGCCCUUUGAUCCAGAAAUUGAACGCACUCUCAGAAGACUUAGAAAGCAAGCCGCAGAAGCUUCAUCUGAAGCAACCGAAUUUUACCAACAAGCUGCACCAAUGGCAGAACCUCAAGCACUAGCUCCUGCCCAUAAUGGACAUGCUGUUCAAGACCAAAUAGUUCAAGAAAAUCCAGCAGUUAGGCCCCAAGAAUAAAGAGAAAGAACCAUGAGGGAGUUAGCAAUACCCGUAGGUGAUCAUGCACCACUUUGCAUCGCCUACCCGCCUCUAACAGUUGCCUUUGAACUAAAAUCAGGUUUGAUUCAUCAUCACCCUAAAUUUAGAGGUUUGUAAAAUGAAAAUCCACACAAGCACUUGAAAGAAUUCAACAUUGUCUGUUCAUCUAUGACACCUCAAGGUGUUUCUGAAGAUCAUGUUAAAUUAAGAUCUUUCCCUUUUUCAUUAGAUGACUAUGCUAAAGAUUGGUUAUUUUAUUUGCCACCUAGAUCUAUAACUUCAUGGGCUGAUAUGGUCCAAACCUUUUUGGACAAAUACUUUCCCCCAUCUAAAUCAAUUGGCAUAAUAAGAGAAAUCACUAGCAUAAAACAAAAACCAACUGAAGACUUAUAUGAUUAUUGGGAAAGGUUUGAAAGACUUUGCACAGGUUGUCCACAACAUGAUAUGUCAGACAGGUCACUUAUGCAAUUCUUCUAUGGAGAAUUAACCCCUUCCGAAAGGAGAUAUAUUGACGUAGCUUGUGGAGGAUCCAUUGCAGGCAAAACACCAAGAGAGAUGAAAGAACUAAUCUCCACUCUUGCAGCCUCAUCUAGGCAAUAUGGAGAAGAAAAGCAAAGAGGAGUCUAUGAGGUAAGUACAUCCGCUUUUGAAUAUCAGGUUUCAAAACUGACUUCUCUUGUGGAAAAGAUUGUCCUUAGCCAAGCUCAACAAGCUCAAGCAAUUCCACCACCUAGGCCAUGUGGGAUCUGUGCCUAUGAAGGCCACCCAACUGAUCAAUGUCCCACAUUCCAAGAAGACCAUCACCAAGUCAAUGCUAUUGGAAGGUACAACAACCAGCCUAGACAUGAUCCAUAUUCUAAUACAUACAAUCCUAGUUGGAGAGACCAUCCCAAUUUCAGCUAUGGAAAGUCCAACAAUACUCAGAAUUACCAAAACUACCAAAGAGACCAAGGUCAACCAGCACCUUCAAGAUCAGACUAGCACCUUGAAAAGAUAAUGGAGUCCUUCGUAAGUACUUUACAGACCAUCACUCAGCGUCUGGACGGAUUGGACACAUCCGUUAGAAGAAUUGAAUCCCAAGGUAAGCUCCCUUCUCAAACUGAAACCAAUCCCAGACAAAAUGUCAGUGCCAUUACUUUGAGAAGUGGGAAAGAACUUCAAGAUGCUAGAUGUGAGGAAGAAAAGCGAAGACCAACACAAUCUGAAACCAUCCUUGUGCCCUCUGAAACACUUGCACAAGAGCCAAAGUCACCUGAAGCCUCUCCAACGCCAUCUGCAGCUCCCCCUGUACAAAAGACUAAUCCAAAGGUAAGCUUCCACAUUCCACUUCCUUUUCCGAAGAGAUUUGAAAGAACACAAAAAUAAAAAGAAGAAAAGGAGAUCCUUGAGACUUUCAGAAAAGUGGAAAUCAACAUACCACUGCUAGACGCUGUUAAGCAAAUUUUCAGGUACGCAAAAUUUCUAAAAGAGCUUUGCACUAAUAGAAGAAAGCUUGCUGAAAGAGAAAAAGUAAGUGUAGGUGAGGUAGUUACUGCAGUAAUCAAAAGAGAACUCCCUACUAAAUGCAAGGACAAAGGUAUGUUUGCUAUCUCUUGCAAAAUUGGGAAUGUUGGAAUUAAGAAAGCCAUGUGUGAUAUUGGUGCAUCCAUCAAUGUUAUGCCUCUCUCCAUCUAUAAAUCUCUCAAUGCAUGUGCACUCAAAGAAACAAGAGUUGUGAUUCAAUUAGCUGAUAGAUCUGUGGUAUAUCCCAUAGGUGUUCUAGAAGAUGUGUUAGUUCAAGUAAAUGAACUUGUCUUUCCUGCUGAUUUUUAUGUGAUUGAUACUAAGGAAGAUAGUUGCAAUGCUAGUUCUGACAUUCUUCUUGGACGUCCUUUCUUGAGUACUGCUAGAACUAAGAUUGAUGUGCAUGAUGGUACUCUCACUAUGGAAUUUGAAGGGGAAGUGAUUAAAUUUAAUGUCUAUGAUGCUAUGAAAUAUCCAUAUGAUAUGUCCCCUGUUUAUGAUCUUAAUAUUGUUGACUGCUUGAGCCAGGAAAUUUUUAAUGAAAAUCAAGAUGAUAUUCUUAACCGUGAUUUCUGCAGAGAUACUGGUCAGGUACAGAUUGAUAGCCAGACAGAGCCAGAACUAAAAGAAAUUGUCUGUAGCAUCCAAUAGAUAGUUUACAGUCAAGCAUAGAAUGAGGGAGACUCCCUCCAGAAAGAUGCGCAGAAGAGCCUUGCGCCAUCUGAAACACCUUCAUGCGCAACUCUUCAGCUCCCAACGCAAAGCUCACCCACCAAUCCUCUUCUGCAAUCCAGUUUUGCACACAAGGAGCCCCCUAAGGCCAGUCCUGCGCAAGGUAAGCAAUCUGAAACCCUUUCUGACAAGACUCCAACACAAGCAAGCUCUUCUAGUCCUCCUUUGCAACACCCUCCUGAAUCUGAAGAAUGUAAGGAUGAUCUCCUUGAACAAAUCUUCCUUGCUCAAACUGAUGAACCAUGGUACGCAGACAUGGUGAACUACUUGGCCACAGGUAACCUACCCUCUGACAUGCCAAGGCACACUAAAGACAAGAUAAAGAAAGAUGCCAAAUACUAUGUUUGGGAUGAGCCAUAUUUGUGGAAACAUUGUGCUGAUCAGAUGAUAAGGAGAUGUAUCCCAGAUCAAGAAAUAGCUUCUAUGCUUACUUUUUGUCAUUCAUAUAGCUGUGGUGGACACUUUGGUCCAAUAAAAAACUGCGCAUAAGAUACUUGAAAGUGGCCUAUUUUGGCCCAUUAUGUUUCGAGAUGCCUUUCUGUUUUGCAGAUCUUGUGCCAGAUGUCAACAAACUGGAAAUUUGAACAAAAGGAGUCAAAUGCCACAAAACCCCAUCAUGGUCUGUGACGUGUUUGAUGUAUGGGGUAUUGACUUCAUGGGCCCAUUCCCACCAUCCUUUGGAUACACUUACAUCAUCCUUGCAGUGGAUUAUGUGUCCAAAUGGGUGGAAGCUAGAGCAACAAAGACUGAUGAUGCUAAAGCAGUUAUAGACUUUGUGAAGACCAACAUUUUUGCCAGACAUGGAGCACCAAAAGCAAUCAUCAGUGAUAGGGGGACCCACUUUUGCAACAAGGUAGUAGGAAGUCUUCUCAAAAAGCACAAUGUGAUCCAUAGAACAUCCACAGCCUACCACCCUCAGACAAAUGGGCAAGCUGAAGUAUCCAAUAGAGAAAUCAAAGCCAUCCUUGAAAAGACGGUUUCUCCUAACCGAAAGGAUUGGAGCUCAAGAUUGGAGGAUGCUUUAUGGGCCUACAGAACAGCCUACAAAACCCGCAUAGGUAUGUCUCCUUAUUGAUUGGUCUAUCGAAAAGCUUGUCACCUUUCAGUUGAACUUGAAUACAAGGCAUAUUGGGCUAUAAAGAAUUGCAACAUGGACCUCAAAGAAGCUGAACACCAUCGCAAGUUACAACUACAAGAGCUAGAAGAGAUAAGACGAGAUGCAUAUGAGAACUUUUGGAACUACAAAGCAAAAACCAAAGCCUCCCAUGACAGUCAUCUUUCAAGAAAACAAUUUGAGGUUGGUGAUAAAGUUUUACUCUUUGACUCUCGUUUGAAAUUGUUUUCAAGAAAGCUACGAUCUAGGUGGAUUGGACCAUUCAUUAUGGAACAUGCCUACCCCCAUGGAGCUGUAGACAUCAAAAGCAUAGAAACUGGAAAAAUCUUCAAAGUAAAUGGGCAUCGAUUGAAACCAUAUUAUGAAGGAUUCGCAGUACAAGUAGUGAAAGAAAUUCCACUCUCUCGGUCUAAGUAGUAAUCAUGCCAUGCACACCACACCCUAGGGGAGUACUCAGUUUCAUUUGUUCUCUUCUCUUCUCUUCUCUUUUUCUCUCUUCUUUUACAUUGAGGACAAUGCAUGAUUUAAGUGUGGGGGUGCAUAUAUCUUCCUCUCCUUCUCUUCUUCUUUCUUUCUAUCUUCUUCUUCUCUCUUUUGCAAUUUCUCCUUUCAGAAUUUUCAAAAAAAAAAAUAAAAAAAUAAAAAAAAAAAUAAAAAAAUAAAAAAAAUUAAAAAAAAAAAUUUCUUCUUCUCUCUUUUGCAAUUUCUCCUUUCAGAUUUUUCAAAAAAAAAAAAUAAAAUAAAAUAAAAAUUUAAAAAAAAAAUUUCAGUUAUACGAUUUAUCCUUUCAGUUUUCUUUCAGUUUAUUUUUGUUUUCAAUAAUACACACACAAACUCAACCAUCUUCUUCUUUUUGUUUUACUCUACUCAAAAUUGAUGAACUAUGUUGGAUGAGCUUUUCUUUCCAUGACCCCAUUGAUGUUAUGACUCUUUAAACUUAUGUUGAAUCAAUUGCAGUGAGUUAUAUUCAUACUUGAGAAUUGCUUUUUGAAUUGAAUCUUUGAGUUUGCCAUGGUGAAAAAUAUAUUGAUGACCCUCAAUUGAUUGAGAAUAAAUUAAAAUUGUGUGAAUGAACUUAAUGUGACAUGACAUGAUUUAGCGAUUGGUGUUGAUUUGCCCAAAUCAUUGAGAGAAAGCAAAUUCAGCAAAGGCAAAGACCUCAAAAGAACAAAUUGAAAAUUGUUCCAAUGGUCAAAAGACUAUGAAUAAGGCAAGUAGCCACUUGGAUAGGUGACCAACUGAAAAAUAUAAACCUUCAAAUCAAAAAUAGGUUGGUGACCUUUCCAAGCAAGAUCUAAAGUGCAAAAGCCUGAAUAAAGUACUUCAAGGUAAGGGCAAGUCAAUCCAAAAGCUAGAAAAAGUCUUAAACAAAUUAAUGUGCAUGUCUCUCUCGAGGAAAACAAAUCCUAGCCAUGGUAAGCAAAGGGAAACAAGGAAAGGAGGUAAGUAAUCUUCAUGCAUAUAUUAUUCACUGCAAUGCUUCAAAAUAGGUGUUUAGAGUAAGAGUUUAAGUGGAAAUAAGGAUCUAGAGUGAGAAAGCUUGUUUGACUAUGUUUAUUUGCUUGAGGACAAGUAAAAGGCUAAGUAUGGGGCUAUUUGAUAGAGCAUAAUUUAGUCCAUUUUAUAUUAAUAUUAUUAAUGAAUAUUUACAUGAUUUCUGUUUAAUUUAUUGCUUUUAAUAUUAUUUUGCAGAAAAUAGUGUAAAAGGACAAUUUGGAGAAAAUCCCCCUAAAACUGUCUUAUUUGGAGUAAAAGAGAGCAAGUCUGCCAAGCCGGAUUCAAGUCAAAAUAUUUUGGAAAUUAAAUAUUCAAGCUCAUUCUCUCACGUGGAUCAAGUCCAUUCUUGCACAUGGGCCGGCGCAUCCUCCGUAUGGACCGUUCACGCACACGGGAAUUCAUGGCCCGUGCACACCCACGCUUCACGCCAUUGGGCCCGCGUCAUCAACUCCAGCACCUUUCACUUGCACAUGGCCCACACCAAUCCAUCAAUUCACGCGAAUGGACCAAGCACAAAUCCUCAACCUUCACGCCGUGGCCCCCACCAGGCGCUCAACACUCACGCCCCAGCUCCCGCACACUCCUUCACCUUGGGCCAAGUGCGCAAAUGGACCAACACUCAUGCACAAGCUCAACGGGCAGCACUUCACAUGGACCAAAUGGACCCACCUUCAUCAUCCAUGCUCACCAGCACUUCAUGUGGACAAAUCACGCACGAGGACCCACCAACGGCUUCAACGCUCUCACACGUAGACCAAAAUUUCCAAUUUAGCAUCGCUCCUCUGCACCUAUUUAAAGAGCUCUUCAGCGAACAAUUGGGACAGAGAGAAUUUUCUCCAAUUCGGCAGUUUCCUCCAGCCUCGGCGCAAGAAUUCCUUCGGUUUUUAUUUAUUUUCUCUUUUAUUUAUUUUAUAUUUUUAAUUUAGCCAAUGAGUGGCUAAUUUCUUUCAUCUAAUUGAAUAUUGGUUGAAGUUUUAGUUGGUUAAUGGAUUGUGAGACUUGAUCAAAUAUUGUUUAAAUUUUGGGAAUUCAAUAUUCAUGCAAUUUCAUAUUUAAUUUUCAUAUUAUUUUGUUAUUGAGAUCUACGUUGAUUUUUUAUUGCAAAAUAAUUAUUUGUUAGUUUGAAUAAUUUAAAUCCGUAAUUGCUUGGGUUAUUCUUACAUGAGAACACUUGGGAUAAAACCCAAGGAAAUUGCAUGAUCUAGCGUUAUCUCCAUACAUUUGGGUAGCUAGGAUUGGAUCUCUCUAUUUCUUAAUGCAAUUGGCAAUUGUUUUGAUGCCUAAGGUCUAAGGACGUUCCUUAGCAAUUUGUUAAUUAGUAAUUAAUCAGAGGACGUUCCCUAAUUAAUUUAAUCAUAAGAAGAGAUAAUGGUGGUGAGAAGUGUCUUCCAUCUCCAUAAACUAAUCUAUUGAAUCAACCCAAAAGAACAAAGUGUCUGUGAUCAAUCUCAACAACUAAAGUGGAUCCAAUACUUCAACUGGAACUUUCUCAUUAUUGAUUACUCUUUAUUUUAUUACUUGCUUUCCUUUAUUAUUCUCAAUUUUAGUUUACUACAAUCAAUAUCAAACCCCCCUGUUAUUUUGUUGACAGUUUUUUAUUCCAAUUUUCAGUUUAUCUCAUUUGAUCCCACUUUCAGUUUUUAUCUCAUUUUUUAUUUAUUGUUAUUUCAGUUAAUUCUCUUGGUCUUGUUGAGAAAAAUAAAUAAGUUUUCAAUUCUCUGUAGAUUCGAUCAUUUCACCACUAUCUUCAGUUGUAAAUUGUUGAUAACCAGAAAGGUUAUUUUUGACCGGUUUCGACAACCGCGAGUCAAAAAUCACCUACAGAUUCAGAAUUUGGUUAAUUCAUAAAAGUUUUAGCUCUUUAUCUCAAAUUUAAUUUAGUAUAUUUUAGGCGUAAUUUUGAUAGCUACACAAUGAUUUAUGAAGUUGCUAACACAUACUGCCCUGUUAAAACCUAUCCUACUAGGUCUGCACUUUUAACUUCCAUGCUAAAUUUCUUUACUUAAAGCCUUUCAAAUACUAUUCCAACAUUCAUAGUACAUAUUUAUACAAUCAAACCAAUAUUUUCAGCAAGUAAAAUCAAUCCCUAAUUUCACAUAUUUAUGAGGAAAUCAAAGGAAAACAGAAAAAUCAUAUAAACACAAAAUCUUUUGC